Molecule: ribosomal RNA, 136 nt
Filed under: uncultured bacterium
Lineage: Bacteria
Description: partial 16S ribosomal RNA
Rfam family: Bacterial small subunit ribosomal RNA
Source: RNAcentral
GGGGAAUAUUGGGCAAUGGAGGAAACUCUGACCCAGCAACGCCGCGUGAAUGCAUGAAGGUCUUCGGAUUGUAAAAGUUCUUUUCUAAGGGAAGAAGAAAGUGACGGUACCUUAGGAAUAAGCCUCGGCUAACUAC